This is a non-coding RNA of Mesocricetus auratus (golden hamster), 58 nucleotides long. NCBI's taxonomy places the organism in Eukaryota, Metazoa, Chordata, Mammalia, Rodentia, Cricetidae. The record is from Rfam.
UGGCUCAGUGGUUAAGAGCAUUGGCUGCUUUUCCAGAGGACCUGGGUUCAAUUCCCAG